GUCAAGGUGGAAAUUCUGAGAAUAAGGAAAUAAGAGAGUGUAUGUAAGUUAAGCUUUCAUCUCUGACCCUCCAUUCUAAUAGGCAAGAAGGUGUCAGAAGCAGGACAAGUGGGGAUAUGAGACCAUGAUUCAAGAAGAGAAAAUUCUUCAGAAAAGAGAAGUUGCAAAGUAGGAGGAGGAAUAGAAUCCUAAGGCAAUAAAGGCUUUUGAAGGUUCAAUUACAAAGGUUUCAUCUUCUCAACUUACCUGGAAACAGGGUAUGGGGUUGUUGAAAUUCUUGCUUCCGUCAGAGACAGAAAGCAGCGGUAAUUUCCCUCAAUGAUCAAAUUAUAGCUGUAAGGUCUUCCCCCUGAAUCCCUGCUCCUCCUUCUAUUCCUCUAAUGUUAUAUCUACUUGACUUUUUGUAAUCUUCCUCCUACCUCACCUGCCACAUAUAAAGGUCUGAAGAGACAUGGAGAAGAAGCAGUUAUUGAAAUUUGGGACAUACAUAGUAGAUUCCUUAUAGAAGUUGUGACCCAAGUUAGAAAGAUCCAGCCAAGUGAAAAUGACGUCAAAGAAGGGAGCCAGUGGGGAGCACUUGAUGGGAUGAGCACUGGGUGUUAUGCUAUAUGUUGGCAAAUCGAACUCCAAUUAAAAAAUAUACAAAAAAAAAAUAAAGUGGGUUUCUUGGAAAAAAAUAAUAAUUUGAACAUAUUUUAAAAAAGGGAUCCAGUGGAAUAAUUACUUGGCCCUCCUUCUAUCAGCUUGUUGAUCUUUCAC
Molecule: long non-coding RNA, 759 nt
Filed under: Vulpes vulpes (red fox)
Lineage: Eukaryota; Metazoa; Chordata; Mammalia; Carnivora; Canidae
Description: lncRNA (ENSVVUG00000017240.1)
Source: RNAcentral